UACCGUGGACCUAGAAUAUCUGGGUAUUUGUCCCAAAAGAGGUAGAAGGGGUUCACUGUCAGCAUGUUUCCUAUAGAAAUGCUCUGAAUCGCUGUUCUCUCGAUAUUGCUAUUGGCCUUGGUUCAAGAUACCUUCUGUUUGCCUGCCUGGAUUCCCUUGCUGCUCUCGCUAUUGAGACUACAACAAAGCCACCUCUUCUUAUUAAGACUUGCUAAAUACACCCACCCCUAAAGCCACCUAACUCCAGUUGCUGUGCUUUGUCGACAUUUGUUGAAUAUUCUUCUUAAACUAUUAUCUAGAAAUAUUGAUUGGUAGCUUAGAGGGAAUCUCAGGCAUAGUAGUGAAUCACCAUAUUGCAUUGUUGUUUCUCAAGCUCACCCUUCUAGAAAUAAUAAGAAUGGUGAACAUUCAAUGAUGCUAUAGCCCUGUGGUGAACACUGAUGGUAUAUCUUUAUUUAACACUGUAAUGACCAUGGAAAUAUGACUUGGAGGGGGAGAUAUUUGGCCUAGCAGUAAAUAUGCAAGUUAAGAGAUCCAGGUCCCAGAUCAGAUUGCCUGAGUUCAUUAACGGCUCUGGAUGCUGCCUCUAACUUCCUGCUAAUGCAAACAAUUUAGAGGCAGCAGUGACCACUCAAGCAACUGGGUCCCUGCUCCCAAUUUAGGAGAUGUCAGUUGUACUCCUGCUUCUUGUGUUUGGACUCUUCCCAGUUCUGUCUGUUGUGGGCAUUGGGUAUAUGAGCCAGAAGAUGUGAGCUCUCUCUGUCUCUGUCUCUUUUCUUUCCAAAUAAGUAAAUGAAAAUUAGGACUUGGAGACCUCCAGUAGCAGAGAAAUUAAUUGAUCAAGGACCACACUAUUGUGCUCUAAAAUACAUUGUCACAUUUCUGUAGAGGCCACACUUUCCAAGGCAAUGAUCUCAGACACUGAGAAAAUGUGCUAGGGUCACUAAGGCACGUCUCUUACCGAGAUCUGGAUCAAGUGAUGCCAGGACUCCCCACCAAUGGCCGUGUUGAACCCUCCCUCCACUACUUGGUGAUCUAACCUGCUUCCAAGAAAAUUCUUCUUUUUCAGGAGGAUAAGACAUCUCUCCUGCACCCCG
This 1097-nucleotide long non-coding RNA is filed under the name Oryctolagus cuniculus (rabbit). RNAcentral describes it as "lncRNA (ENSOCUG00000038718.1)". The record is from RNAcentral. Lineage: Eukaryota; Metazoa; Chordata; Mammalia; Lagomorpha; Leporidae.